AAUAACCAAGCAUAUGAUUAUUAAAUAUUUAUGAUUUUAAUGAUCCCCUAGUAGAAAAACAAAACGUGAAAAAUCAUGAAGAAACAAGCUGAGGAAUCUUAUAUUUGAUGGGUAAUAAUGUCAUAUUAAGAAAUAUGAAAUGGAUUCGCCCAUAUUCCACAGAUUUUUUAUUUUUAUUUUUUGCAGAAAGUGCGUGUGUUUGUUGCUAAUAAAUUUCAGUAAGCACCCAGUUCAUCUGCUGUUUGGUAACCAAAGCUAUACCUACCCUUUUCAUACUUUCACAGCAUGAAAUGUUCCACAAAUGUUUUUUUUUUUUUACCAGAAACAACUGAAAAAUGCUUUUUGUUUCUGUCUAGUUCUUAAAAUAAUUUUGUGGUUCACCAGUGUGGUCACACUGACAUUUAACUUCCAGGUAGAGUUUAGAAAAUAUGCUGCAUACUGUAGCUCUGGUAUUACAGUAAAAGACAGAUGUAGAUACUUAGGUACUAUAGUGUGUGUGUGUGUGUGUGUGUGUGAUACAUUAUAUGCAACAACUAGUGAGGUUUAUGCUCAUUUGUCGGUAUCAUUGUGUCUUUAUAAAGUCUGUUGUAAGUGUUUUGAGUGUUACCUAGUCCCCUAUUUACUGGGACUACAGAAAAAUGUUGCUUUUUCUCACCCAUGGCUUUUAGUUUCUAUUGUUUUGACACUUUCUUUUCUUGUGUCUGGGUUCUUACUCUUUAAAAGAAAAAAAGGUUUAAUACAUAAUUAUUCAUUGAACUCGUCCAUCCAACUUUUCGUGUAUCUUAAAACCUUGUUGAAAGCUCGACGCAUUGUAUUGAUGUAGUCGAGAAGCCUCAGCAAGAGCAAGCAUGAAAAUAAUCAAGACUUUCUUUGAACUUUGUAAAUACACUAUACUUAACAGAAUUCCCUUUCAAGUUAUAUUCUAUUGUAUGUCUAUUUUUAGAUGAUAAAAAAACUUGUUGGGUUGAAACUGAAUGGAAAUUUCGCAAUAAAUUCUUAUCCACAAAAGGAUUAUACCGAUGCCUUUACUUCCAUAAACAGGUCUUUUAAUCAAAAUUAACGGGUUUGAAUAAAUGCAGAGGUUUGAGAUAAGGCAAAAGGAUAAGUUAAAAAAUAAGUUAAACCUAAUCUGCCCUUUAUUUUUUUUUAAGGUUCUCUUCUGUUGAAAUCAGGGAAAUCCAACAGUCACGUAAAAUCAUGAAUAGUGAGUAUUAGCGUGAAAUGCAAAAAAUUCCCAUGGAGCCCAUUAACGGGCAGGCUGUUAUUAUACAGAGUGGGUGGCAUAUGUAAUGUGUUUGUACAGACAUACCACAGUGCCAGGUAGUGCCAGGUACAUGUUGCAACAUUUGGUGCCCAUUUUAUUUUCCUUUUAACUGUGCUUUUUUUUAGCAUGGCAAUUCAUUUACUAGCGCAGUGUUUUCAGACUUGUUUCUGCAUGGUUUAUUUUAAUCGUGCUGGACAAGAAAUUUUAUCGCUUGGCAAUAAUCCAUAGGGCAGAAGUGCUCCGUGCGUUAUUUAUUGAGUAUGAAAAUCACUGGAGGUUUUUAUGUGUUUGACAAUGCUCUACACCACUAUCGAUAAAACAUAUCAAUAUCUUUUGACGUUCAUCCCUCCAGUACAGACCCAGUGAAUCAGUGGCCAAAAAUAUUGUGGACACCUCACAGUUGGUGAACAUCCCAUUCAAGAUGUACAGAUCCAUUCUUCUCUUCUGUGAAGGCUGUCCACUAGAUGUUGGAGUGGGUCUGUGGGGUUUAGCUACAAGAGCAUUAGUGAGAUCAGACACUGAUGUUGUAAGAGUGAGGAGGUCUGCGGUUCAGUCGGUGUUCCAGUUCAUCCUAAAGGUGUUCAGUGGGGUUGAGUCAGAGUCAGGGCUCAGUGCAGGACACUCCAGUUCUUCCACUACAACCAUAACACACCAUGUCUUCUUGUAGUCACUUUGUUUACAGGUACACUGUCAUGCUCAGGUUUCGAGUCUCUUAUUUCCAGUGAAGGGUUUAUAAUUCUACAUCAGACAAAGACAUUCUAUAUAAGCGUGUGCUUCUGACUUUGUGCCAACACCUUGGGGAAAAACCACAUUAGUGUGAUUUUCCGGUGCCUACAAAAUUUCGAUCACGUAGUGUGUAUCCGAAUUAACCCUCUGUCUCUUACAAAUGUAAAAGUCUUUAUUAAUAGUCCAUAAAGGUUUUGCAUCACACACGUUCAUUUCACGUUUUGACUUUCUACUUGGUUUUGAUUCUGAUUUCUUUUCGGUUUUUAUACAUCUACGGUAAAAGAAUUCUAAUUUCUGGCAUGUUGCUUUAAAGUCUACCUCCAUUUACGGCAUCGUUCUUAAAAAAUAUUUAUUUAUACACCACGCUAAAAUGAAACGCUGUUUUUAAACACGCUUGGAAGCAAGAAUCCAGCAUAUCUGGAUUCUUGCAAAGCUAUAAAAAAAAAAAUUCAGUUAUGGCGUUCUAGUUUCGUGAAUAGGAAAAGCUGAGGUACAUUUCUUCUUCAAAAGUAAUGAUAAAUAUUUUCCUGACAUCUGUCUUUUGAAAACAUUGAAGUUGACUCUCAGGCUCUGCAGAAAGUGCUGUGAACUGUCCUUUGUAAAUAGUCAUUCUGAUCUUUGGAACAAGGAAGCGUUUUAAGUGUAAUGUGAUGAGGAAACAGUCCUUAUGCUUAUUUUUUGUGUUGGUUUCUUUUGCAUUUGAUAAAUGUCACAGAUCUUGUAAGAAUGUUAAAAAUGUACCUCAUUUUUAGGUAGGUGGUUUAUGCAAGGUUUAUCCAAAUUGGUAUAUUUGAUAACAGUAAUUGGAGGUGUUGUACUACCAAACAUUACGGUCAGUAUGUUUUACACUGUACCAGAUAAUUGCAAUAAGAAUUCUAUAACAUUCUGUGCAAUAAGGUGUCCUUCAUAAACUUUUGCUUAAUGAAAAAUUACUAUUCUAACACACAUGAUUUCCAGUCGAGGAGCUACGGAUCUGUAUUGCUUUGCUGUAUGAAUGCAAUCAUUUUCAUAGGUAUAGGUUUAGGUGUAUAGUGGUAGGUUUAUCAUAGCUAUAGGAUCAUUGUGUAAUCUGACAUGAACGCACAGUCACCGAAAUCACACAACUUUGCCAGAAUUUUAUUGAAAUCAACUUGUACAGUAGGACAAGUAAUACCUGUAAGAGCGUAUAACUGGCUAAACGGCAGCUCUAGAGAUCUCUCAGCUGUUCUUUCUCUCUCACCGAGUUUCAAUUCAUUUCAUUUUUAUUUGCAUAGCACUUUAUACAGCGUUUCUGUCUUGCCAGGCCUGUAACAGCGAAGUCCAGUUUUAUGUCAUUAACAGCUAAAAAAAUCACUUCAGUUGUCGCAAACAAAGUUAAAUAUCAGAGAUAUGCAGAAUAAGGUAGAAUGUUCUACACUGAAGGCCAGAGAGAAUAUAAAAUCUGUGCAGAGCAAAAGCAUUUUUAGCAACAACAAAAGGUUGAAGACAGUUACGAAGGACCAUGUUGGUCAGAAUAUUAAUAAUUAUAUUCAGAAAGUCUGAUGCAAACUUUUGAACAGAUUUCAUUGUUUUUCUUCCCUGCUACUUUUAUACAUCAUCCUGUGAUACAAAAUCAUACAUAAUUUAUUCUUGUUUUAAGUCACAUUUUGUCCUAAAAUAAAAACAAAACUGCGUCUUGCAGGUCGAAAAGCUCUUCUUCUUUCACAAUGCCUCAGUUUCUCUCUCUCUCUCGCUCUCUCUCUCUCUCUCGCUCGCUCUCUCAACUCUUACACACUAAGCACAAUCUUAACUGAACACUGAGGUACAAAGUCCAGAAUCUUUCGCUGACACGUCUUUUAUCAGUCACACACAUCAACACACAUCCGAAAUGGGUUGAAAGUUUAAUCCGAAUUGAAGCUUAACAGGAAGUGAAAUAAAUUAUUAAAUAAAUGGUAUUCAAGAAACCAUCUUCUGGUAAAUUCUUUUGUAAAUAUUGUGUUAAAGGAUAAUUUCCCUGAGAUUAACAGACAGGUUUGUUAUUUUAUUUUCAUUUCUGUGCUCCUGCUUGAGUGGGUGUAUUUGUCAGGGUAGGUGUGUGUUUGGGGAAUACGACUGAUUUGGAUCCCAUCCAAUGAGUAAAAACCGGAAUACCAAAGGAGCAGUGAUGUAACACAUUACAUUUUAAGAAGGGUUUCGCCUUGGCAUGAUGCAACGUAUGACAAUUCGGAAUUCCCCCCUGCAAGAUCUGCCUACCAGUAACAGCUGAAAACUCUCAGUCUCCCUCCCUUCUUCUCCUUCACUGGCAGCGUUAUUUGAGAGUGAUAAUGAAACUAAUGCAGUGUAAAAUAAUGUUCCCUGGUCAUAGGUAGCAAUCAACCUUGACCACUUCUUUAUUUCCCUGAUAGUUUUUGAUCUACUGAGCAUUUAGCAUUUAAGUCUUUUUCAUUGUUUAGCUUUGACCUAGGAAUACUUUUUUUUCUCUCGGUGCGGCACACAGCAUUAGACUCUGUAAAUAAAUAUGAAAAUGAUAUAAUUUGCAUAUUUUUUGUUUUGCACAUCACACAUUUGUUACACUAAAUUGAAUAUAUUUACCGAAUUAAAGGGAAGCUCUGUUAUCCGUACCCCACUGUUCUCAUGCAUUCAUCACAUAUACUUUAUAAAUGUUGUAACAGACAGGUAAAAUUGGUGCAAUUAUAUAUAUUAGAGGCGAACAGAAAAUAUUGUAGGCUCAGAAACGCUCUUUCAUUUUCAUUUGAUCACUUUCACCGAUUGUCACUUAAUGUCACAGAAUCUGAAAAUAUUCUGGUUUUGAUGAUGCAUGGAAAUAAUGAAGCAGAGAAAAAAAUAAUUGCACUGCAUGAUGAUAAAUGACGCACAAGAUGCAUCAAAACCGUGAAGAAGUAUCUGAGAACCACCAAAAAACCCACAAGAUUAAAAAAAAAAAAAAAAUUGUUCUGCUACAAUUUCUACUACAAAUUCAUUUGUAAAAAAUUAAAUAUCUUCACUGCCUUUUAAUGAAGUUUUUGUUGCUCAGGAUAAUUUAUAUGCGGUUUAUUCUUUUGUGGGCCUUCUUCUUGAUAAAUAUGUGGUGAAUAUUAUUACUGUCCUGCAUUAUGUUUCACAAGCAUCAGAAACUGUGUGUUCCUGCAAUUCCUUUUGGUCAGAGCUGCAAUUUCGAAAAUUGUUCAUUUAUAUCUACAGUAUUGUAAACUGUUACACAUGAGGAAUUCCUCUGGCUGAAUGAUUGUUUAUGUGCUGGAGACGGUUUACGCAGCACACAACUCAAAGUGUGUAGGAAAUGGAAUGUGUGGCAAUCUUGGCUCAGUGACAGUGUUGGGGGUGUGUCAAUAGCAGUCUAUGAAUCCAGUGGUAAGUUUCACCACUUGUAAAGCACAGUGUUUGUGAAAGAAUGGAGGUGUGAAUGAGUGGGCAGCAUUUUCACAUAUAAGAUGCUUCUAACAGGAUGGGAGGUGCUCAUUCAUUCCAACAACAUGGAAACCAGUGUCUUCAUCCACGAUUGCCAGAACUUAGCUGAGGCUUCCAAAGGCACGAAGGAGUCCAGACACUUCCAGCGCAGUUCCAGGUGUCUCCUGCUGAUUCUAUUUACUCUGCUGGGGCUCCUGGUUGUAGGAUUGGUUGUACUUUUUACAGUUUGGGUGGCACAGAAUGUAGUCAAAUCAGAUUUCACUUGUCCACAGGUCAAUUUUGGACCCGGCUGGACAUUUAACAUUUCAGGGCCUGGGGAUUCACACAUCUUCACUGCUCUAAACAAUGGGACAUAUUUUAUCUACGGAAAAUUUCAGAUAAAUAAACAAAAGACUGAAGACUGUGAAGAUAUCAUCAAGUUGGCCUGGAGUGGACCAGCUAAGUCAGAUAAAAUGUCUGAGCUCACUAAAACCAAGUUUAAGCUAAAUAAUGACAUUUAUAUGGCUGAAAUUAAGGAAGAGAAUGUGAAGCUCAGUGGAAAAAGUAAAGUGCACUUGAUUAUCAAUUGUAACCAGAACAUUAGGGCGAAUUUUAGAGUUGGGUACAGAUCAGAAUGAUGAUAAUCACUGUGAUGAUUCAGUCAGUUAUCAAAACAUUAAUUAUUCUUAUUCAUCCUCUUAUGCAUAACAUUUAAGACUGCACAGCUUUGUUUGAGUAAUGAGGUGGAUUCUGUAACACUUAUAUAAAUUAAUUACUGAUUAAUCAUUAUUUUGUUCUGUCAUAAAUUCUAUGUAUUUCUAUAUA
Molecule: long non-coding RNA, 6178 nt
Organism: Hemibagrus wyckioides
Lineage: Eukaryota; Metazoa; Chordata; Actinopteri; Siluriformes; Bagridae
Exons: 3
Source: RefSeq, a predicted model, not a curated record